This 434-nucleotide ribosomal RNA is filed under the name uncultured bacterium. Its description in RNAcentral is "bacterial SSU rRNA". It matches the Rfam family "Bacterial small subunit ribosomal RNA", at positions 343 to 794 of the family's 1533-position model. The record is from RNAcentral.
GGGAGGCAGCAGUGGGGAAUAUUGGACAAUGGGCGAAAGCCUGAUCCAGCAAUGCCGCGUGAGUGAUGAAGGCCUUAGGGUUGUAAAGCUCUUUUACCAGGGAUGAUAAUGACAGUACCUGGAGAAUAAGCUCCGGCUAACUCCGUGCCAGCAGCCGCGGUAAUACGGAGGGAGCUAGCGUUGUUCGGAAUUACUGGGCGUAAAGCGCACGUAGGCGGCGACUCAAGUCAGAGGUGAAAGCCCGGGGCUCAACCCCGGAACUGCCUUUGAAACUAGGUUGCUAGAAUCUUGGAGAGGUCAGUGGAAUUCCGAGUGUAGAGGUGAAAUUCGUAGAUAUUCGGAAGAACACCAGUGGCGAAGGCGACUGACUGGACAAGUAUUGACGCUGAGGUGCGAAAGCGUGGGGAGCAAACAGGAUUAGAUACCCCGGUAGC